GUCAGCAGCCAUACCACCUGCAGUUCAGGCUUGGUAAUCCACUUGAAGCUAAGUGGGUUUGGGCCUGGCCAGCACUUGGAUGGGAUGCCAGCUACGAAAGCUGUGUUGUUGCUGGGA
This 117-nucleotide ribosomal RNA is filed under the name Paramormyrops kingsleyae. Lineage: Eukaryota; Metazoa; Chordata; Actinopteri; Osteoglossiformes; Mormyridae. The record is from RNAcentral.